Molecule: non-coding RNA, 374 nt
Organism: Arvicanthis niloticus (Nile rat)
Lineage: Eukaryota; Metazoa; Chordata; Mammalia; Rodentia; Muridae
Source: the annotation of a RefSeq genome assembly
AUGGAUUGGGUUGGAACUUGCUAUUUCUGAUGGCAGCAGCACAAAAUGCCCAAGCACAGAUUCACUUGGUGCAGUCUGGCCCUGAGCUGAAAAAGCCAGGAGAGACAGUGAAGAUCUCCUGCAAGGCUUCUGGGUAUACGUUCACAGACUAUGCAAUAAACUGGGUGAAACAGGCUCCAGAAAAGGGCUUGAAGUGGAUGGGCUGGAUCAACACCAACACUGGAAAUCCAACAUAUGCUGAUGACUUCAAGGAAAGGUUUGCCUUCUCUUUGGAAACUUCUGCCAGCCCUGCAUAUAUGCAGAUCAACAACCUCAAAACUGAGGACACGGCUACAUAUUUCUGUGCAAGGCACGGUGUGAAAACCACAUCCUGA